UUACUAUAGUGAAAGUGUUUGUCUGCCAUGUAGUAGUAAUGUGUAUAGAUUAUAUGUUUAUACUGUAUUAUAGUCAUGAUAAUGUGUGUGAGUGUGUGUUUCUGUGUGUCUGAUGUGUUAGGUGCGUAGUCUGGACUGGAGACGAUCGUGUGUUUUUCUUCAAUCCCACAAUGCACCUGUCUGUAUGGGAAAGACCCUGCGAUUUGAUUGGUCAGGACAUCGGGCCGUAUCAUCAUGGACCCGCCCCACAAGAGGAAGAAGAAUUCUGGUUACAAGAUUUGUCCUUGUCAUGAUGAUGAUGAUGAUGAUGAUGAUGAUGAAGAUGGACAUGACUCAAAGAGAAGCAGGCUAGAGGAACCAUUGUCUCUCGUCAAGGAAGGCCAGGAGGACAAGCUCCUCCCACUUGAGAUGCGCGUCUCCAAGUUUAGAGACAUGAUGCUGGAGAGAGGGGUGUCUGCCUUCUCUUCGUGGGAGAAGGAUCUUCAUAAGAUGGUUUUUGAUCCCAGAUAUCUUCUGCUCAGCCAGACCAGAGGAAAGAGGUAUACGAUCAGUUUGUGAAGAGCCGGAUCAAGGAGGAGUACAAGGAGAAGAAGACGAAACUGCUGAAGGCCAAAGACCAGUUUAAACUGCUUCUGGAGGGAGGCUCAGAUCACCAGCAAGUAAGUACCAACUAACUAACUGACCAAUUUGGUUAGUGUUUUAACAGUCGGGUGCGUUAAAUCUCUUCCUCCCUCCAGGUCCACCUUCAAGCAGUUUCUGUGUGGGUUACCGCGGCGACCACCGCUUCCACGCCUUCAGCAGGAAGAAGGAGCAGGGAAGUUAUCUUUAAACAAUACAUCAGUUCCUUGAAGAGGAGGGACAAAGAGAACAGAGUGCGACUGAGCAGAAUGCGGUGAGGGCC
Molecule: long non-coding RNA, 901 nt
Organism: Gadus macrocephalus (Pacific cod)
Lineage: Eukaryota; Metazoa; Chordata; Actinopteri; Gadiformes; Gadidae
Exons: 5
Source: RefSeq, a predicted model, not a curated record